GUUAUAUGGUCAAGUGAACAAGCGCAUCUGGUGGAUGCCUUGGCAGCUGAAGGCGAUGAAGGACGUUGCAGCCUGCGAUAAGCCUCGGGGAGUCGGCAAACAGACUUUGAUCCGGGGAUUUCCGAAUGGGGAAACCCGACACUUGUGUCAUUGUGUACUGAAUUCAUAGGUAUACAAGGCGAACCCGGAGAACUGAAAUAUCUAAGUACCCGGAGGAACAGAAAUCAACCGAGAUUCCCUUAGUAGUGACGAGCGAACGGGGAGUAGCCCUUAAGUGAUUCGAGAGUUAGCAGAAGGUUCUGGAAAGUUCUGCCAUAGUGGGUGAAAGCCCCGUAUGCGAAAAUGAUCGAGUCAUGAAAUCGAGUAGGGCGGGGCACGUGAAACCUUGUCUGAAUAUGGGGGGACCAUCCUCCAAGGCUAAAUACUCUCAGCUGACCGAUAGCGAACUAGUACCGUGAGGGAAAGGUGAAAAGAACCCCUGUUAGGGGAGUGAAAAGAACCUGAAACCGGAUGCGUACAAGCAGUGGGAGCACUAAAGCGGCUUCGGCCGUGGUGAGUGUGACCGCGUACCUUUUGUAUAAUGGGUCAGCGACUUACUCUUGCUGGCAAGGUUAACCGUUUAGGGGAGCCAUAGGGAAACCGAGUCUGAAUAGGGCGUUAAGUCUGCAGGAGUAGACCCGAAACCGGGCGAUCUAGCCAUGGGCAGGGUGAAGGUCAGGUAACACUGACUGAAGGCCCGAACCCACCUAUGUUGAAAAAUGGGGGGAUGACCUGUGGCUUGGAGUGAAAGGCUAAUCAAGCCCGGAGAUAGCUGGUUCUCCUCGAAAACUAUUGAGGUAGUGCCUCUUGUAUCACCGUCGGGGGUAGAGCACUGUUUGGGCUAGGGGGUCAUCUAGACUUACCAACCCCAUGCAAACUCCGAAUACUGGCGAGUGCAGCAAGGGAGACAGACGGCGGGUGCUAAGGUCCGUCGUCGAAAGGGAAACAGCCCAGACCGCCAGCUAAGGUCCCAAAACCGUGAUUAAGUGGGAAACGAUGUGGGAAGGCCUAGACACCCAGGAGGUUGGCUUGGAAGCAGCCAUCCUUUAAAGAAAGCGUAACAGCUCACUGGUCAAGUCGGCCUGCGCGGAAGAUGUACCGGGUCUUAAAUCACGUACCGAAGCUGCGGGCUUAUGACAGUUUAACUGUUGUGAGCGGUAGAGGAGCAUUCUGUAAGCCGUUGAAGAUACAUGGCGAUGUGUAUUGGAGGUAUCAGAAGGGAGAAUGCUGACAUAAGUAACGAUAAAGGAGGUGAGAAUCCUCCUCGCCGAAAGACUAAGGGUUCCUGUGCAACGUUCAUCGACGCAGGGUGAGUCGGCCCCUAAGGCAAGGCCGAAAGGCGUAGUUGAUGGGAAGCAGGUUAAUAUUCCUGCACCGGCGAUUGCUGCGAUGGGGUGACGGAGAAGGCUAGACAAGCCUGCUGUUGGUUUAGCAGGUUUAAGCACGUAGGCUGAGAUCUUAGGAAAAUCCGGGAUCUCUUAAGGCCGAGAUGUGAUGACGACUGAAUUUUCGGAUUCAGGAAGUUGUUGAUGCCAUGCUUCCAAGAAAUAACCUCUAAGCUCUAAGCAAUUGUUGACCGUACCCUAAACCGACACAGGUAGUCGGGUAGAGAAUACCAAGGCGCUUGAGAGAACUCGGAUGAAGGAACUAGGCAAAUUGGCACCGUAACUUCGGGAGAAGGUGCGCCGCACUUGGUGAAGGGUCUUGCACCUGGAGCUGAGGGCGGUCGAAGUGACCAGGUAGCUGCGACUGUUUACUAAAAACACAGCACUCUGCAAACUCGUAAGAGGACGUAUA
Molecule: ribosomal RNA, 1836 nt
Filed under: Gammaproteobacteria bacterium
Lineage: Bacteria; Pseudomonadati; Pseudomonadota; Gammaproteobacteria
Also listed under: 1 other name
Description: partial 23S ribosomal RNA
Rfam family: Bacterial large subunit ribosomal RNA
Source: RNAcentral